This 338-nucleotide transfer-messenger RNA is filed under the name Pseudomonadota bacterium. RNAcentral's name for it is "Proteobacteria bacterium (cold seep metagenome) transfer-messenger RNA". It matches the Rfam family "transfer-messenger RNA". From Rfam's summary of the family: Bacterial tmRNA, also known as 10Sa RNA or SsrA, is named for its dual tRNA and mRNA-like properties. Its role is to liberate the mRNA from a stalled ribosome. Lineage: Bacteria; Pseudomonadati; Pseudomonadota. The record is from RNAcentral.
CCUGGAUUCGACGUGGGUCAGAAAACCCAAGGUGCAUGCCGAGCUGUAGUUACGCUCGUAAAACCAACUACAAACUUUUAGUUGCCAACGACGACAACUACGCACUAGCAGCUUAAAAACCUGCUCAGCGCCUUCUGCCCGGCUUGUGCCUGUACGACCGGAUCCCAGGAGUCACCCCAUACAGGAUCGUGUUGAAGCAUUUCCGCUGCCGAUACAUUAAAACUUAGCCGGAAUCGCACCAGGUUUUCCCUGCUCUUCGGGUAACCCGGUGCUAAAUUAAUAGAAGAGAUAAGCAUGUAGAGCCGAAGGCAGACUACUUACGGACGCGGGUUCGAUCA